Molecule: ribosomal RNA, 406 nt
Filed under: uncultured bacterium
Lineage: Bacteria
Description: partial 16S ribosomal RNA
Rfam family: Bacterial small subunit ribosomal RNA
Source: RNAcentral
AUUGAACGCUGGCGGCAGGCCUAACACAUGCAAGUCGAACGAGGGGCGGACGGGUGAGUAAUGUCUGGUCAACUGCCUGAUGGAGGGGGAUAACUACUGGAAACGGUUGCUAAUACCGCAUACCAUCCGAUGUUCCCAGAUGGGAUUGGCUAGUUGGUGGGGUAACGGCUCACCAAGGCGACGAUCCCUAGCUGGUCUGAGAGGAUGACCAGCCACACUGGAACGGAGACACGGUCCAGACUCCUACGGGAGGCAGCAGUGGGGAAGAUGGGACAAUGGGCGCAAGCCUGAUGCAGCCAUGCCGCGUGUAUGAAGAAGGCCUUCGGGUUGUAAAGUACUUUCAGCGGGGAGGCGUUACCCGCAGAAGAAGCACCGGCUAACUCCGUGCCAGCAGCCGCGGUAAUUC